This 267-nucleotide long non-coding RNA is filed under the name Mus pahari (shrew mouse). RNAcentral's name for it is "lncRNA (MGP_PahariEiJ_G0005903.1)". Lineage: Eukaryota; Metazoa; Chordata; Mammalia; Rodentia; Muridae. The record is from RNAcentral.
CUGUGGACAUCAUUACACAGAGGCCGGUAGCUGAGGACUCAGUGCAGGUGAAGCUUCCGCCUGAAAGAUGAGCUAAAGCCAGAGGGAAAUUCCAUCCAGGACCGCACAUGUGACUCGUUCCAAGAGCUCUCAAGACAGACCUUCAACGAAGCUCACUUGGGUUUGAAGAUGAAUGCCAAUGGAGACAUACCUGUUGAUUAUCAACUUUGUGGCAAAGCAUCCUGGUUUGAUAGCAGUAAAAGUCGGUUCCUUCCGAAACUCACAGUC